Molecule: ribosomal RNA, 491 nt
Filed under: uncultured bacterium
Lineage: Bacteria
Description: partial 16S ribosomal RNA
Rfam family: Bacterial small subunit ribosomal RNA
Source: RNAcentral
AGUGAACGCUGGCGGUAGGCCUAACACAUGCAAGUCGAACGGCAGCACAGUAAGCGCUUGCUCUUACGGGUGGCGAGUGGCGGACGGGUGAGGAAUACAUCGGAAUCUACUUUUUCGUGGGGGAUAACGUAGGGAAACUUACGCUAAUACCUCAUACGUCCUACGGGUGAAAGCAGUGGAUCUUCGGACCUUGCGCGAUUGAAUUAGCCGAUGUCGGAUUAGCUAGUUGGCGGGGUAAAGGCCCACCAAGGCGACGAUCCGUAGCUGGUCUGAGAGGAUGAUCAGCCACACUGGAACUGAGAAACGGUCCAGACUCCUACGGGAGGCAGCAGUGGGGAAUAUUGGACAAGGGGGGAAAGCCUGAUCCAGCCAUACCGCGUGGGUGAAGAAGGCCUUCGGGUUGUAAAGCCCUUUUGUUGGGAAAGAAAAGCAGCAGGUUAAUACCCCGCUGUUCUGACGGUACCCAAAGAAUAAGCACCGGCUAACUUCGU